This 465-nucleotide ribosomal RNA is filed under the name uncultured bacterium. RNAcentral's name for it is "partial 16S ribosomal RNA". It matches the Rfam family "Bacterial small subunit ribosomal RNA", at positions 338 to 795 of the family's 1533-position model. The record is from RNAcentral.
CCUACGGGAGGCAGCAGUGGGGAAUAUUGCGCAAUGGGCGAAAGCCUGACGCAGCGACGCCGCGUGAGGGAUGAAGGUCUUCGGAUCGUAAACCUCUGUCAGCAGGGCAGAACGGUCACUGUGCUAAUCAGCAGUGAAUUGACGGUACCUGCAAAGGAAGCACCGGCUAACUCCGUGCCAGCCGCCGCGGUAAUACGGAGGGUGCGAGCGUUAAUCGGAAUUACUGGGCGUAAAGCGCUCGUAGGCGGUAUGUCAAGUCAAGUGUGAAAUCCCCGCGCUCAACGUGGGAACUGCCUUUGAAACUGGCAAACUGGAGUGUGUGAGAGGAUAGUGGAAUUCCAGGUGUAGGAGUGAAAUCCGUAGAUAUCUGGAGGAACAUCAGUGGCGAAGGCGACUAUCUGGCACAUAACUGACGCUGAGGAGCGAAAGCGUGGGUAGCAAACAGGAUUAGAUACCCCUGUAGUC